Molecule: ribosomal RNA, 492 nt
Filed under: uncultured bacterium
Lineage: Bacteria
Description: partial 16S ribosomal RNA
Rfam family: Bacterial small subunit ribosomal RNA
Source: RNAcentral
AGUGAACGCUGGCGGUAGGCCUAACACAUGCAAGUCGAACGGCAGCACAGUAAGAGCUUGCUCUUACGGGUGGCGAGUGGCGGACGGGUGAGGAAUACAUCGGAAUCUACUUUUUCGUGGGGGAUAACGUAGGGAAACUUACGCUAAUACCGCAUACGACCUACGGGUGAAAGCAGGGGAUCUUCGGACCUUGCGCGAUUGAAUGAGCCGAUGUCGGAUUAGCUAGUUGGCGGGGUAAAGGCCCACCAAGGCGACGAUCCGUAGCUGGUCUGAGAGGAUGAUCAGACACACUGGAACUGAGACACGGUCCAGACUCAGACGGGAGGAAGCAGUGGGGAAUAUUGGACAAUGGGCGCAAGCCUGAUCCAGCCAUACCGCGUGGGUGAAGAAGGCCUUCGGGUGGUAAAGCCCUUUUGUUGGGAAAGAAAAGCAGCAGGUUAAUACCCCGCUGUUCUGACGGUACCCAAAGAAUAAGCACCGGCUAACUUCGUG